This 458-nucleotide ribosomal RNA is filed under the name uncultured bacterium. RNAcentral describes it as "partial 16S ribosomal RNA". It matches the Rfam family "Bacterial small subunit ribosomal RNA", at positions 29 to 507 of the family's 1533-position model. The record is from RNAcentral.
AACGAACGCUGGCGGCAUGCCUAACACAUGCAAGUCGAACGAGACCUUCGGGUCUAGUGGCGCACGGGUGCGUAACGCGUGGGAACCUGCCCUUAGGUUCGGAAUAACUCCCCGAAAGGGGUGCUAAUACCGGAUAAUGUCUUCGGACCAAAGAUUUAUCGCCUUUGGAUGGGCCCGCGUUGGAUUAGCUAGUUGGUAGGGUAAAAGCCUACCAAGGCGACGAUCCAUAGCUGGUCUGAGAGGAUGAUCAGCCACACUGGGACUGAGACACGGCCCAGACUCCUAGGGGAGGCGGCAGUAGGGAAUAUUCCGGAAGGGGCGAGAGCGUGACGGAGCAACGCCGCGUGAUUGAUGAAGGUUUUCGGAGCGGAAAACUCUGUGAUUAGGGAAGAAAAAAGGUGUAAGUACCUAUGCACGUCUGGAGGGUACCUAAUCAGAAAGCCACGGCUAACUACGUG